GACGAACGCUGGCGGCGUGCUUAACACAUGCAAGUCGAACGGAAAGGCCCUGCUUGCAGGGUACUCGAGUGGCGAACGGGUGAGUAACACGUGGGUGAUCUGCCCUGCACUUCGGGAUAAGCCUGGGAAACUGGGUCUAAUACCGGAUAGGAGCCAUUUUUAGUGUGAUGGUUGGAAAGUUUUUUCGGUGUAGGAUGAGCUCGCGGCCUAUCAGCUUGUUGGUGGGGUAAUGGCCUACCAAGGCGGCGACGGGUAGCCGGCCUGAGAGGGUGGACGGCCACAUUGGGACUGGGAUACGGCCCAGACUCCUACGGGAGGCAGCAGUGGGGAAUAUUGCACAAUGGGCGCAAGCCUGAUGCAGCGACGCCGCGUGGGGGAUGACGGCCUUCGGGUUGGAAACUCCGUUCGCUAGGGACGAAGCUUUUUGUGACGGUACCUAGAGAAGAAGCACCGGCUAACUACGUG
RNAcentral lists this ribosomal RNA (465 nucleotides) under uncultured bacterium. RNAcentral describes it as "partial 16S ribosomal RNA". It matches the Rfam family "Bacterial small subunit ribosomal RNA", at positions 28 to 507 of the family's 1533-position model. The record is from RNAcentral.